Molecule: long non-coding RNA, 582 nt
Organism: Vigna unguiculata (cowpea)
Lineage: Eukaryota; Viridiplantae; Streptophyta; Magnoliopsida; Fabales; Fabaceae
Source: RefSeq, a predicted model, not a curated record
CAGAUUUCUCUGGUCUCUCUCACAGAAGCAGUUCCUCUCUUCCUCUCAAAUCUCCAGCUAGAGCUCUGCUAGGGCACGACCUCCUCCUACCUCCAAGCUAUCAAAAGCAGCUCGUGACUCUCUGCUCUCUAAUAUAGUUCCGGAGCUGCUAUUAUCGUUGUUUUGCGGGUCUGUUGUUUUUGGUGCUCAAACGAAGAUGAGAGGGAGACUCGAGGUGGAUCCGGGCGACGCAGCGGUACGAUCUAGUUGUCGGCCUUGGUGACCUUAGGAGUAGUUUCAUGGCCAUGAGGCCUUUUGUAUUAGUUGCCUUAGUGACAACCUUUUUGCAAAACUGUUGCACUCUUUUAAAUUCUCCUUUGCUUAGGACUAUGUGGUACGCCUAAGCUUCCUUUUAAGUACUUCAGGAUGACUGUAAUAGUUAUCUCCUUUACGUUUUAUAUUCAUCUAAGUACUUCUCGUUAUUAUAUAUAGUGUGAUAUUUUAUUUAGUAGUGUAAUCUAUUAAAAUGGGAUGUCACAAUAUUGAUGACAACUUCCCAACUAACAUCUGAAGAAAAAAUAAUCUUCGUUUAGGCUGAUCGAA